GAAAGGCUGCAGGCGGCUGCAGCUGGGCGUUUGUGCGCCCCAGUUAGA
Molecule: non-coding RNA, 48 nt
Filed under: unclassified sequences
Description: S4-Clostridia ribosomal protein leader
Rfam family: S4-Clostridia ribosomal protein leader
Source: RNAcentral